Molecule: ribosomal RNA, 425 nt
Filed under: uncultured bacterium
Lineage: Bacteria
Description: partial 16S ribosomal RNA
Rfam family: Bacterial small subunit ribosomal RNA
Source: RNAcentral
GUGGGGAAUCUUAGACAAUGGGCGCAAGCCUGAUCUAGCCAUGCCGCGUGAGCGAUGAAGGCCUUAGGGUUGUAAAGCUCUUUCACCGGUGAAGAUAAUGACGGUAACCGGAGAAGAAGCCCCGGCUAACUUCGUGCCAGCAGCCGCGGUAAUACGAAGGGGGCUAGCGUUGUUCGGAAUUACUGGGCGUAAAGCGCACGUAGGCUGAUAUUUAAGUCAGGGGUGAAAUCCCGGGGCUCAACCCCGGAACUGCCUUUGAUACUGGGUAUCUUGAGUAUGGAAGAGGUCAGUGGAAUUGCGAGUGUAGAGGUGAAAUUCGUAGAUAUUCGCAGGAACACCAGUGGCGAAGGCGGCUGACUGGUCCAUUACUGACGCUGAGGUGCGAAAGCGUGGGGAGCAAACAGGAUUAGAAACCCGAGUAGUCC